GAUGAAGAACGCAGCGAAAUGCGAUACGUAAUGUGAAUUGCAGAAUUCAGUGAAUCAUCGAAUCUUUGAACGCAUAUUGCGCUCUCUGGUAUUCCGGAGAGCAUGCUUGUUUGAGUAUCAGUAAACACCUCAACUCCCCUUUCUUUUUUUGAAAUGGGAGCUGGACUUGAGUGAUCCCAACGCUUUUCUCACCGAAAAGUGGCGGGUUACUUGAAAUGCAGGUGCAGCUGGACUUUUCUCUGAGUUAAAAGCAUAUCUAUUUAGUCUGCCUAAAAAACAGAUUAUUACCUUUGCUGCAGCUAACAUAAAGGAGAUUAGUUCUUGUGCUGACUGAUGCAGGAUUCACAGAGACAGCUUCGGCUGGCCUUUGUAAACUCGAUCUCAAAUCAAGUAAGACUACCCGCUGAACUUAAGCAUAUCAAUAAGCGGAGGA
Molecule: unclassified non-coding RNA, 433 nt
Filed under: soil metagenome
Description: partial contains 5.8S ribosomal RNA, internal transcribed spacer 2, and large subunit ribosomal RNA
Rfam family: 5.8S ribosomal RNA (bases 1-120)
Source: RNAcentral